GCACACGCUAACGUCCGUGUCCGUCUCUCUCUUCUGAGUGUACGCCAUUAGCUGGCUCAGACAAGUUCUCAGUGAAUGGAGGCUAUUGGUUGUGCGUGUUAAACUCAAGGGAAACGGACGUUUGUACUGUGCCCCAGGUUUCCCCUAGGCCUGAGGCCGGUAACACUAUUGUAAUUCUUUUCUUUGGUGCCGUCUGUGUUCUCCCCCAGGCUGGUCCAGUUCUUCAAUGUCCCGGUUUGUUGUCUUGAUGUUUUGUGAACAUUUGUGUCUGUAGUAUACUGUGGAUGUCCUUGAAAUAAAAUGUUUUUCUGUA
Long non-coding RNA from Pygocentrus nattereri (red-bellied piranha), 313 nucleotides. RefSeq lists it as uncharacterized. Lineage: Eukaryota; Metazoa; Chordata; Actinopteri; Characiformes; Serrasalmidae. The record is from RefSeq and is a predicted model, not a curated record. The transcript has 3 exons.